GUACUCUGNAACCCGAGUACAUGAAGCUGGAAUCGCUAGUAAUCGCGAAUCAGAAUGUCGCGGUGAAUACGUUCCCGGGUCUUGUACACACCGCCCGUCACACCAUGGGAGUCGGUAACGCCCGAAGCCUGUGACCCAACCUAAUAGGAGGGAGCAGUCGAAGGCAGGUCUGAUAACUGGGGUGAAGUCGUAACAAGGUAAC
This 202-nucleotide ribosomal RNA is filed under the name uncultured bacterium. RNAcentral's name for it is "partial 16S ribosomal RNA". It matches the Rfam family "Bacterial small subunit ribosomal RNA", at positions 1300 to 1500 of the family's 1533-position model. The record is from RNAcentral.